GACGAACGCUGGCGGCGUGCCUAACACAUGCAAGUCGAGCGGGGAUUUAAGUGGAAGUUCUUCGGAAUGGAGAUUUAAAUUCUAGCGGCGGACGGGUGAGUAACGCGUGAACAAUCUGUCCCGGACAGGGGGAUAACACUUGGAAACAGGUGCUAAUACCGCAUAAGACCACGGCCUCGCAUGGGGCUGAGGUAAAAGGAGCAAUCCGGUUCGGGGUGAGUUCGCGUCCGAUUAGCUAGUUGGUGAGGUAACGGCCCACCAAGGCGACGAUCGGCAGCCGGCCUGAGAGGGUGAACGGCCACAUUGGAACUGAGAGACGGUCCAAACUCCUACGGGAGGCAGCAGUGGGGAAUAUUGGGCAAUGGGCGAAAGCCUGACCCAGCAACGCCGCGUGAGGGAAGAAGGUUUUCGGAUUGUAAACCUCUGUCCUAUGGGACGAAGGAAGUGACGGUACCAUAGGAGGAAGCCCCGGCUAACUACGUG
This 483-nucleotide ribosomal RNA is filed under the name uncultured bacterium. RNAcentral's name for it is "partial 16S ribosomal RNA". It matches the Rfam family "Bacterial small subunit ribosomal RNA", at positions 28 to 507 of the family's 1533-position model. The record is from RNAcentral.